UACAGAGAGGGCAAGCGUUGUCCGGAAUGACUGGGCGUAAAGCGCGCGCAGGCGGUCUUUUAAGUUGGGUGUGAAAUCCCCGGGCUUAACCUGGGAACUGCAUUCGAUACUGGAAGACUAGAGGCCGAGAGAGGAAAGCGGAAUGACGAGUGUAGAGGUGAAAUUCGUAGAUAUUCGUCGGGACACCAGAGGCGAAGGCGGCUUCCUGGCUCGGACCUGACGCUCAGGCGCGAAAGCGUGGGGAGCAAACAGG
RNAcentral lists this ribosomal RNA (253 nucleotides) under uncultured bacterium. RNAcentral describes it as "partial 16S ribosomal RNA". It matches the Rfam family "Bacterial small subunit ribosomal RNA", at positions 524 to 776 of the family's 1533-position model. The record is from RNAcentral.